Molecule: unclassified non-coding RNA, 217 nt
Filed under: fungal sp.
Lineage: Eukaryota; Fungi
Description: partial internal transcribed spacer region
Rfam family: Eukaryotic small subunit ribosomal RNA (bases 1-46)
Source: RNAcentral
AAGUCGUAACAAGGUUUCCGUAGGUGAACCUGCGGAAGGAUCAUUAACACAAGUAAAAAAACAUUUUACAACACCCUAUUAUGAAUUUAAAUUUUUUAAUUUUAAUUUUUUUUAUAAAACUACAAAAAAAAUAUUUAAUUUAUUUGACUAACAUUUUUUUAAUUAAUUUAUUUAAAAUUUUAUAAAACAACUCUUAACAACGGAUAUCUUGGCUCUC